UACAGAGGUGGCAAGCGUUGUUCGGAAUUACUGGGCGUAAAGGGCGCGUAGGCGGUUCGUUAAGUCCUGUGUGAAAUCCCCCGGCUCAACUGGGGAACUGCACAGGAAACUAGCGGGCUUGAGUUCGGGAGAGGGAAGCGGAAUUCCGGGUGUAGCGGUGAAAUGCGUAGAUAUCCCCAAGAACACCAGUUGCGAAGGCGGCUGACUGGACACAUAUUGACGCUGAGGCUCGAAAGCAUGGGGAGCAAACAGG
This 253-nucleotide ribosomal RNA is filed under the name uncultured bacterium. RNAcentral's name for it is "partial 16S ribosomal RNA". It matches the Rfam family "Bacterial small subunit ribosomal RNA", at positions 524 to 776 of the family's 1533-position model. The record is from RNAcentral.